RNAcentral lists this ribosomal RNA (497 nucleotides) under uncultured bacterium. RNAcentral's name for it is "partial 16S ribosomal RNA". It matches the Rfam family "Bacterial small subunit ribosomal RNA", at positions 28 to 507 of the family's 1533-position model. The record is from RNAcentral.
GAUGAACGCUGGCGGCGUGCCUAACACAUGCAAGUCGAGCGAACAGUCGAGGUGCUUGCUCCUCUGACGUUAGCAGCGGACGGGAGCGUAACACGUGGAUAACCUACCUAUCAGACUGGGAUAACUUCGGCAAACCAGAGCUAAUACCGGAAAAUAUAAUGCACCGCAUGGUUCACUAGUGAAAGACGGUUUUGCUGUCACUUAAAGAUGGAUCCGCGACGCAUUAGCUAGUUGGUUGGGUAACGACUUACCAACACAACGAUGCGUAGCCGACCAGAGAGAGGGAUCGGCCACGCUGGAACUGGGGGAUGGUCCAGACUCCUGCGGGAGGCAGCAGUAGGCAAUCACCCGCGAUGGGCGAAAGGGUGACGGAGCAACGCCGCGUGAGUGAUGGAGGUAUUCGGGUCGGGAGACUGUGUUAUUAGGGAAGGUCAAAUGUGUAAGUAACUGUGCACGUAAUGACGGUACCUGGACAAUAAGCCACGGCUAACUCCGUG